This 629-nucleotide long non-coding RNA is filed under the name Rhinopithecus bieti (black snub-nosed monkey). Its description in RNAcentral is "lncRNA (ENSRBIG00000045854.1)". The record is from RNAcentral. Lineage: Eukaryota; Metazoa; Chordata; Mammalia; Primates; Cercopithecidae.
UUGACAGCUGGCAGUGUCUUUGAUAUUGGAAGAUGUCAUUUGGAAAAGAGGGAACGACAGCAGAUCGGAGGCAGCUGUUCGCCGCCGUGGUAGUCCGUGAGCACAGCUGUGGGGUGGCGAUGAUUCCUCCUCCUACUAUGACAGGGUAGCCUGAAAGACUGAUGGGAGUUAGUCUUGUUGAACUGGCACAGUCUUCAGUAUGCAAGGAGCCCAUCGCAUCCUCAACCUAGAGCUCAAAUCCAAGGUUUGGCGACUGGACCAAAACAUCUAGAUGGUUAGGUGAGGGUGAAGAGGAUGGCUAAUCAAUUCUAGAAUGGACAGCUGGUGCGAAUCAAGGGGAAUAUGAAACAUCUUCCGCAUCUCUUGACUCACAUCUGGCCCCAACCCAGCGCCUUCUGAGUCUAGAAGACUUUACAUCUCACAGUUUCCUCUGCCGCCCCGCAGGCCUGCUUGGACAGCUCUGGCUUGCCGGCACAAAGGCCACGAAGCUGCAGAUCAACCAGUAAGAGAUGGGGCAGUGUCCAAGGAACCUCAGUGGACUCAGCCAGGAAAGCUGAGCAGAAGCCUCAGGUAUUUGUACACACAUGUUCAUAACAGCAUUAUUCACCGUAGUCAAAAGGUAGAAACAA